UACGUAGGUGGCUAUUCAAGUUAGUUGUGAAAUUCCGGGGCUCAACUCCGGCGCUACAAUUAAGACUGUUUAGCUUGAGUGCAGGAGGGGUAAGUGGAAUUCCUAGUGUAGCGGUGGAAUGCGUAGAUAUUAGGAGGAACACCAGUGGCGAAGGCGACUUACUGGACUGUAACUGACACUGAAGUACGAAAGCGUGGGGAGCAAACA
RNAcentral lists this ribosomal RNA (207 nucleotides) under uncultured bacterium. RNAcentral's name for it is "partial 16S ribosomal RNA". It matches the Rfam family "Bacterial small subunit ribosomal RNA", at positions 568 to 774 of the family's 1533-position model. The record is from RNAcentral.